This 447-nucleotide ribosomal RNA is filed under the name uncultured bacterium. Its description in RNAcentral is "partial 16S ribosomal RNA". It matches the Rfam family "Bacterial small subunit ribosomal RNA", at positions 29 to 523 of the family's 1533-position model. The record is from RNAcentral.
AGCGAACGCUGGCGGCAGGCUUAACACAUGCAAGUCGAACGCCCCGCAAGGGGAGUGGCAGACGGGUGAGUAACACGUGGGAACGUACCCUUUGGUUCGGAAUAACUUGGGGAAACUCAAGCUAAUACCGGAUAAGCCCUUAUGGGGAAAGGUUUACUGCCGAAGGAUCGGCCCGCGCCUGAUUAGCUAGUUGGUGAGGUAAUGGCUCACCAAGGCGACGAUCAGUAGCUGGUCUGAGAGGAUGAUCAGCCACACUGGGACUGAGACACGGCCCAGACUCCUACGGGAGGCAGCAGUGGGGAAUUUUUGACAAUGGGCGAAAGCCUGAUCGAGCAAUGCCGCGUGAGUGAUGAAGGCCUUAGGGUUGUAAAGCUCUUUUAGUAGGGAAGAUUAUGACGGUACCUACAGAAAAAGUCCCGGCUAACUUCGUGCCAGCAGCCGCCGUAA